RNAcentral lists this ribosomal RNA (795 nucleotides) under uncultured bacterium. Its description in RNAcentral is "bacterial SSU rRNA". It matches the Rfam family "Bacterial small subunit ribosomal RNA", at positions 1 to 793 of the family's 1533-position model. The record is from RNAcentral.
UAGAGUUUGAUCCUGGCUCAGGAUGAACGCUAGCGGCAGGCUUAACACAUGCAAGUCGAGGGGCAUCGGGAGGGAAGCUUGCUUUCCUUGCCGGCGACCGGCGCACGGGUGAGUAACACGUAUGCAACCUGCCCUCUUCAGGGGGACAACCUUCCGAAAGGGAGGCUAAUCCCGCGUAUAUCGGUUUCGGGCAUCCGAGAUCGAGGAAAGAUUCAUCGGAAGAGGAUGGGCAUGCGGCGCAUUAGCUUGACGGCGGGGUAACGGCCCACCGUGGCGACGAUGCGUAGGGGUUCUGAGAGGAAGGUCCCCCACACUGGUACUGAGACACGGACCAGACUCCUACGGGAGGCAGCAGUGAGGAAUAUUGGUCAAUGGGAGAGAUCCUGAACCAGCCAAGCCGCGUGAGGGAAGACGGCCCUAUGGGUUGUAAACCUCUUUUGUCGGAGAACAAAACCCGGGACGUGUCCCGGACUGCGUGUAUCCGAAGAAAAAGCAUCGGCUAACUCCGUGCCAGCAGCCGCGGUAAUACGGAGGAUGCGAGCGUUAUCCGGAUUUAUUGGGUUUAAAGGGUGCGUAGGCGGUCCGUUAAGUCAGCGGUAAAAUUGCGGGGCUCAACCCCGUCGAGCCGUUGAAACUGGCAGACUUGAGUUGGCGAGAAGUACGCGGAAUGCGCGGUGUAGCGGUGAAAUGCAUAGAUAUCGCGCAGAACUCCGAUUGCGAAGGCAGCGUACCGGCGCCACACUGACGCUGAGGCACGAAAGCGUGGGGAUCGAACAGGAUUAGAUACCCUGGUAG